Molecule: long non-coding RNA, 805 nt
Organism: Xenia sp. Carnegie-2017
Lineage: Eukaryota; Metazoa; Cnidaria; Anthozoa; Malacalcyonacea; Xeniidae
Exons: 2
Source: RefSeq, a predicted model, not a curated record
AUAAUGCCUAAAAAUGUGUACUGCGUUAAUUUCUAAAAUUUUCGACAUUGAAAUAUUUCACAUAUGUAUGUAACAUCAACACAAAUCUUCAAAAGAACGCUUCAAAGUUAUGGAGUACAUAUUCGUCUAUUGGGUGUCGGUGCAAUACAAAAUCACCAAGAUAUGUAUUGAUGUAUGGAUACCUUCGACUCGUAAAUCUUGGAUGUGUUACUGUGAAGAAUAGUGAAUCAUUUCAUUAAUACAACAAUUCAAUGAUUACAAAGGCGUCGCAAAGAUCCAACCAAAUUGGGUUAGAGCUACAUGAUGAAAAAACAUCAAAAUAUCGAGAUUUAUAUAUUGAAGACAACUUAAGAAGUUACCAAGAGACACUAUCAUGAAAAAACUGCGUUUGAAACGACAAAACUUUACAAUUUUACGAGACAAAGUAUAAUAAAAUGAUGAAAUGUGAUGGUCUUGUAUCGUCAACAAUACCUAUUUCAUAAACAUUUAUUAUUUCGUCAGGAAAACAACAUUGGUAAAAUAGGUAGGCUGUAGGGGUGGAGGUUAAAACCUGUUCUCAACAUACCCUUCAUUAACAUGCAUGUUUGUUCCUGGAGUCGAUAUAUUGAAAGACUGUUUUUGUACACCUUUGGAAAUGAAAACAAUAUGUUAGCAGUUAAAGAUAUUUCCUCAGACGAUAAACAUAAAAAAGCCUACCCUUUGCUUUAGCUGCUCUUAGUUUUCUUUGAUGACUGCAAAAUAUAAUAGAAAAUACAAUUCUACAGCUUUCUAUAAAAACCAUUUUAAGUGAUCAAAGUCAUGAAAA